AUUGCACGCUGGCGGCCGGCCUAACACAUGCAAGUCGAACGAGUGGCGGACGGGUGAGUAAUGUCUGGGAAACUGCCCGAUGGAGGGGGAUAACUACUGGACACGGUAGCUAAUACCGCAUACCCUCGGAUGUGCCCAGAUGGGCUUAGCUAGUCGGUGGGGUAACGGCUUACCUAGGCGACGAUCCCUAGCUGGUCUGAGAGGAUGACCAGCCACACUGGAACUGAGACACGGUCAAGACUCCUACGGGAGGCAGCAUUGGGGAAUAUUGCACAAUGGGCGCAAGCCUGAUGCAGCCAUGCCGCGUGUAUGAAGAAGUCCUUCGGGUUGUAAAGUACUUUCAGCGGGUAGGCGUUACCCGCAGAAGAAGCACCGGCUAACUCCGGGCCAGCAGCCGCGGUAAUUC
This 406-nucleotide ribosomal RNA is filed under the name uncultured bacterium. RNAcentral's name for it is "partial 16S ribosomal RNA". It matches the Rfam family "Bacterial small subunit ribosomal RNA", at positions 30 to 526 of the family's 1533-position model. The record is from RNAcentral.